UCUAUAUGUCGACCACGAGUGACCUUGACUGCACACGAGAACGGCGGCCGGGGCCGGAAUCCUCAUCCUCCAAUCGAGUUUCCCUUCCUCCUCCAGGCGAAUCCCAAUCUCUCGCCGUCGAGACACCGGGGAGUGGAUCGAGGCUGGCGCGGUAAUCAUCAGGCGAGAGAUCGAGGAGAUUGAUGGGAUGAGAAUCCCGCCGGCGACCGGAGAAGCGGCAGACGAGGUCACUGAAAUCUGCUCGGGAUAGACAAUUGGUGGAUUGGUUACUCAGGGGCCUGGACAGCAAGAUAAGCCCUAGUGGGCGGUGAACACAUCGAGGACCAGGGGCAGAUGUAAAGAGAUCUAGGAGCGCCUGGCCGCGCCCCAGCACCCAUCGCCACCACCGGCACGCCAAUCGCUGCCGUCUCCACCGGCUGCCAAGCCAUGAGCAAGCGAGCUAAGACGACGGCGUUGGAGGCACAGACCACCAUGGUGGGUUCUGCUGCUGUCCAGUUAAGAGUAGACGACGAGCUAGCGAGUCAGGCUCCCAUCGGCUAUGCUGUCUACCCCGACAUCAUCUCCGUCGGGGAACACCUCUGGAGGAUUGAGUGCUUACCGCGUGGGGAUGUGGAGGAUGGCAGUGGCGAAUAUAUUUCAAUCUUCCUCAGGCACAUGAGCAAAUCCACAAGUGUUACAGCCAUCUUCGAGGUCUUCUUGAUUGACAAUUACGGCAUACCAUCUAUGACAGAGACACGAAGGAUUCUUCGUACGUUCCGAAUCGCCACAGGUCGAGGCAGAGGCUCUGGUGACUCCUGGGGAUGGAGGCACUUUGUCAAGAGAACUAUUCUGGAGGACAGUUACGUAGAUGAGGAGUCGCACUUCACAUUUGUUUGUGCCAUCAUGAUCAUCGAUGACUGCCCUAUUUGUGUGCCCCCUUCAGACAUCACGACCCAUCUUGGCCGACUGCUAGAUGACACUGACGGGACGGAUGUGUCAUUCGUCAUCGACGGCGAGACAUUCACUGCUCACCGAGCAGUGCUUGCCGCCCGCUCAUCGGUCUUUAGAGCAGAGCUCUUUGGUUCCAUGGCCGAGGCUACAAUGUCAUCCAUCACACUAAAGGACAUCACACCUGCGGCAUUCAAAGCUAUGCUUCGUUUCAUGUACACAGAUGCCUUACCUGGAGAGAGCGAGCUUGGGGAAUCUCCUGUUGAGAUGUUUCAGGAUCUACUUGCUGCAGCUGAUCGAUACGCACUGGACUGACUGAAGUCUAUGUGUAGCCGGAAGUUAUGGGAUAAAGUGUCGGUAGAAACAGUUGCAACUACCUUAGCUUGUGCAGAAACCUACAACUGUCCAGAGUUGAAGAACAAGUGCUUUGAUUUCCUUGCGGUGGAGAAAAACUUCAAGGAGGCUGUGUUCACCGAUGGUUAUGCAUGGUUGGUUCUGAAAUUCCCAUUGGUUACUGCUGAGCUUAAGGAGAGGAUGCAGGGGAUGGAGGAUUGAUGCUACCCCUGAAUUGAAUAUGCAUAAUUAUGCAUCAGUGCGUAGGCCGAGAGAGCAGAACUCUUCCUUUCUCUAAAAAUAACAAAAGUACCUGUGCAAUUCAUGUUUUGUUUGAUAUUUCCACCAAAUUCGAAAUUCCCCUUGAAGUCAUUUUAAAUUGUGCGAACUUAGCACGUAUUAGAAGAAAAAAAGGAAAAAAAAAGUUUAUUUUUGGCUCGUCAACUAUUUUCGAAGUGAAGUUUUCCCCUGAACUCUAUGCUGGAUAUUCUGGGUCCUUCAAGUUGGAGAUUUGGAAUCACUGAAGCUGGUUUAGAUGAUAAGGGCUUGUAGUACGUGGUGGGUUCAAAGGCGCCUCGAAGUUUGCAUGGGCCAGCCUCAGUCAGUCACCAAUCAAGCCCUAGCGGGGAGUAAGUAGCAACGGAAGAACUCGCGAGCGGCGGCGUACGGCGGACGCGCCGCCAAGGAUCGGGAUCGGCCGGCGCCAGCGCCGGCGCCUGGAUCGCCACCACCAGCAGGCCAAGCGCCGCCAACCCCGGCGGCGAGCAAGCCAUUGAGUCCCCCUCUCCUCUGCUCUUCUUCUUCGAUCGGUUCCUUGAAAUCACAGAUCGGUGAGCAAGCGAAUCAAGACGGCAGGGCCGGAGUCGAGGACGACGAUCGCGGGAUCCGCCGUGGUCGUGUUCAGAGUAGACCACGAGCAAGGGAAGCAGCUCCCCAUCGGCAAGGCCAUCCACUCUGAGGUCGUCUCCGUCGGGGGCCAUCUCUGGAGGAUCGGCUGCUACCCCAUGGCCAGAAUGAGGACGACAAGGGGGAGUACCUCUCCGUCUUCCUCGCGCAACUAUUUUCAGUUAAGUGCGAAAAGUCACAUACUCUUCUCAUUUUGGACGAGCUACUGAUGCACCUAUACACCGAAGGACCUGAGCAUAAGGAAAGAAGAAAGAAAUGGCUGAAGUGAAGAAAAAAAAGACCAACUUGCGAAAGAAGAAGAAAGGAGAAGGGCCUGGAUGUAAAAAUGUCAAAGGGAUUAAAUCCCUAACUCCUGCUCUCGAUCCCCUUGAGCCUGGCACUUCCCCUUUCCCCUAUCUCCUGAUGCACCACCGGCCGCCGCCGCGGCCAGGCCAGCGUGGCGGCGCGCCACCGAGCUAGCUGCAGCCCCUUCCCGAGAUCCACUACUACUCCUCCUCCAUACCGCCUCCGCCGGCAGCGGGCUGCACGAAUCGUCUCCAUCAACACCUGCUACUCCCCCACGCACCGAAGAAAUCAACAGCCAAGGAACGCGAGCACGACAACCACCUGCAACAUCCUCCCCUUCUCCAAGUGCUGUUGCCCUCUCCUUUGGUUAAAUCCCCACCGAACUCUCUCUCUCUAUCUCCUACUUGUUGCUUGCUGUUUGUGUGUACAAGAACUGAGAAAGAACAUGCUGUUGAUCUUUGGAAAGUUAGUUGAGCCUUGCACUGUGUUAAACUCUCUCUUUAGCUUCUGGCCGAUGUGUGCACUUAAUUAUUGUUCUAUGCUAUAAGAUUCGUAACCUGUUUGUUUAUAUGUCAAUGAAGAUCUUUGAGUUGUUCUACUCUAA
Brachypodium distachyon (stiff brome) is the source of this 3055-nucleotide RNA transcript. It is a transcript of the gene named BTB/POZ and MATH domain-containing protein 2-like, with no coding region annotated. The record is from RefSeq and is a predicted model, not a curated record. The transcript has 6 exons. NCBI's taxonomy places the organism in Eukaryota, Viridiplantae, Streptophyta, Magnoliopsida, Poales, Poaceae.